Molecule: transfer RNA, 91 nt
Filed under: Zooshikella ganghwensis
Lineage: Bacteria; Pseudomonadati; Pseudomonadota; Gammaproteobacteria; Oceanospirillales; Zooshikellaceae
Also listed under: 2 other names
Description: tRNA-Ser
Rfam family: tRNA
About the family: Transfer RNA (tRNA) molecules are approximately 80 nucleotides in length. Their secondary structure includes four short double-helical elements and three loops (D, anti-codon, and T loops).
Source: RNAcentral
GGUGAGGUGUCCGAGUGGCUGAAGGAGCACGCCUGGAAAGUGUGUAUACGUUAACAGCGUAUCGAGGGUUCGAAUCCCUCCCUCACCGCCA